RNAcentral lists this ribosomal RNA (497 nucleotides) under uncultured bacterium. RNAcentral describes it as "partial 16S ribosomal RNA". It matches the Rfam family "Bacterial small subunit ribosomal RNA", at positions 28 to 507 of the family's 1533-position model. The record is from RNAcentral.
GACGAACGCUGGCGGCGUGCCUAAUACAUGCAAGUUGAGCGCUGAAGGUUGGUACUUGUACCAACUGGAUGAGCAGCGAACGGGUGAGUAACGCGUGGGGAAUCUGCCUUUGGGCGGGGGACAACAUUUGGAAACGAAUGCUAAUACCGCAUAAAAACUUUAAACACAAGUUUUAAGUUUGAAAGAUGCAAUUGCAUCACUCAAAGAUGAUCCCGCGUUGUAUUAGCUAGUUGGUGAGGUAAAGGCUCACCAAGGCGAUGAUACAUAGCCGACCUGAGAGGGUGAUCGGCCACAUUGGGACUGAGACACGGCCCAAACUCCUACGGGAGGCAGCAGUAGGGAACCUUCGGCAAUGGACGAAAGUCUGACCGAGCAACGCCGCGUGAGUGAAGAAGGUUUUCGGAUCGUAAAACUCGGUUGGUAGAGAAGAACGUUGGUGAGAGUGGAAAGCUCAUCAAGUGACGGUAACUACCCAGAAAGGGACGGCUAACUACGUG